UGUGAGGAGCGGCUGGGUUGUCCAGCUGCUCGUUUUCCAGGUCAGGAGACUGGGUCUCUGAUGAGCACGUCAAUAACGUUUCCAGGAAGAUGAUGAUUAAUGAUUAACUGGAGUCUCCAAUGAAGAAUACAGACAUUCUGAGAAUGCAACCUUCAGUAAAGCAAAUCCUACCUGCAAAGCUGGAAAUCUAAACCAGAAGCUAAAUGCCUCUGUGGCACUGCUCUCUACUGCACACCUACUUCCCUGAAAUGCGAGUCUAACAGAAGUACAUCUGAAAAGAAAGCAAAAUAAAGCUAAUGCCCACUUCCUUCAAGUACGGUACCAAGUGAUCACGAUCAGGUAAUGCGACAACACCCCUCAGGAGCCAGGAUGGGAAAUGGACACAGCCCGGCUAUGAACGCGAUUUUAGAUGAAAGAAAAGCACCGAAAGGAAACGCACCCGAACGAAACAUCUCGGCACGUCACUCGGUGCCAGGCAAUGACCUCACGCAAUGGCUGCCGUACCUUCGGUUCCUCGACAGCCCCUCAGAUUCUUUGUGUCUUCCACUCGGUAUUUUAAAGGUAGCGGUGGCUGCGCGCAUCCUCUGAGCCUGGUGUGUCCUUCGGAGACGAGAAGCAGCUUUGUGUCAGGCUGCUGCUCACGUGCGAGGCGAGUGGCAUCAGCUCCUGCAGGCCACGAAGGAAUGAAUCCAUCCGGUCCUGGGUGACACGGGAGGACGGUCCUGAACCAAAUGCCAAAUUGUUGUCGGUACUGCUCUGUGAGACACGUGCUGCAGUCGAGCACCAUUGCCAUGAUACAAAAGGCACGGCAACAGAUGACGUGCUGCUCUUCCUUGGGCAGGUGGUUUAUUUCUCCUCUCUCUGAUGCUGUUUCUGAUUGAAGCCCCCCUUCACUGAGUAGCCCCAUCCGCCCUUGCAGAACUCCAUUGGCGUAGCUGACACUUGAAAAGCAAGCUGGUGCACGCAGGCCCUUUGUAACAGUGCUUGGGCACAGGUCUACUUCAAGCUUUGGAAGAGGCAGUCAGUUUUUACAAUGGGAAACCAGACUUGCAUAAGGAAACAGGGCUGAUGUGUUACUGGAGAAGGCUGGUAUGAAGCUAGUCAGCUCUUGUGCACUGGAGUAAUUAAACUUCAUUCAAAGCUCACAGUGCUUGCUCACAGGCCAUGUAAUGGUGAUGCAGACUCCACAAUAGCAGAUGGGUCAGCCAAAGCUGGUCUCACAGCUGUGUUCAGUGUUGAGAACUGUCCUGGGCUACCCUUAAAAGUGGCUGUCAGGGAGAGGCCAGAACCUGGCAGUGCACCAUCCCUGCUGUACCCCUUCUAACAGCACGAGUGACUUGAGUCACCUUAUAAACAGCAAAUAUAGGGCCGCUCACAGUCCUCUUGUAGCCAUCACAAGUGCUGCUAGUACAAUGUGCCUAAGUAUCAUAAUCCCAAGUAGCCAUUUAAUUAGGGAAACAUCUAGGAUGCAGUGCUUGCCUCCCUAGGAGCAGCUGAGGCAGGGAGCAGGCAGUAGAGGUGAACUAAUCUCUUAACUUCCCCAGCAACUCCAUGCACAUACUGACAAAGAGAAUCCAAGCUUCACAAUGCUCCUCAGGUAAAUGCCUGCAAGGUGGGAAUACAGCAGCUGGAGUGCCUGCAGAAGUAACCAGGACCUGGCUGCUGCUGCUGCUUUGUCUGCAGCCCAGGGCACCCCAGGGGAGCUGAAGCAGGUUAACCUAUGUAUGCUUUGCUUUGCUGUUGCAAUUUUCAAUCAAUAGCAAAAAAUGUACUCCUGUUUGCUGUUCUUCUUGCUGUGACAUCACCCACUGCCAGUGCAGCUGCUCAGCAGGUUUUCACUCCUUGAGUUAUUUAUCCUCUCCAGAAAUAAUGGAGUUGUUUGGAUGUGACAUGCCAUGAGGAUAUUUUUAAGGCAUAACAAACUCUAAUUCCUGUCACUGUUUCAAAGAAGCCAAAAAUGAAAGGUAUUGAUACAUAUUUUUUUUUGUAUGAUGCACUUUUUCGAUCCAAGUCACAAUAUUGGUGACAAUUACAGCACCUCCUGUAGUCUUGUCACACUACAAACAAGGCACUGCCAUGCACAGUUCUGUAUAACGUAAAGCAUUUACUUAUGCUGCUCCUCAGCAGCUGCAUUGCUUUGUGUUCAUUAGAUGAACGUUCAACAUGUAAAAUCGUGUACUCAGACCUAAUCAAACUGUGUGUGCUUCAUGCAUUCGUUUGCCUAAACUAACGAAUGUGUUGCAACAGGAUCUUACUCCUACACCCUAUGGAAAUAAAAGAAACAACAAAAGCAGUAUUAUGAAUUACUUGCGAGUAGCUUAGAAACACUGUUCUUAACAACACAAAAUUCAAAGUAAUGCCCCCUGCACUGGUUUGAACCCAAACCACCCCCCUCCUGGCAGUGCCCAUCUCCCCACAGCUGGGUUUGUUCCAGCUGUCACGCUGCUUCCCACAUUCUGACCUGCUGGAUGGUGCCCAGGCCAUCUCCGCUCCACACAUUUCAUACAGCUUUCAUGCAGCACCUGCAGGCUGUGCAUUCGUCCCAUCAGUGGCUCUUACCCUGUCUUUAACACCUAACAGGAUGGUGCCAACAGGGAUGCAAAUAAAAAACAAAUGAAAAUGAUUGUCACAAAGGCUGCGAGCCUUCUUCCAUCAUCUCCCAAACCAGCCCUUUCACCAGUCAAACAAGGGCCAGAGAGAUAUAACUAACUUCAUAAGCCCCAGUCCCAAUAUACUCACUACAAAGGCAACUAAUACUUAAGGAACCUCAUGUCCUGAGGGCUAAAGGUUGAUAAGUAGAAUCACUCACUGUUCAUAAUAAUGUAUGUGAAAAAUGUACUGUUAAAAAUAUCGGUAAUGAGCAAAACUGAUGGAAAACGAAUGCACUCCAAGUAGCUUCAAAUGUGUUCUUGUCUUAUUUUGAAAUUAAAUAAACGCAAAGCAGCACACAUAAAGGAGCGCUCUUCUGCCUAUAAUUGCUAUAGCUACAGUAGUUGCAAGUAAUGUUGAGGGUUGAAAGAUUAAAGACUCCAGGAGUCUAAUCUAAACAGUAAAUUAUGCCCCAGGGUAUUUUGCUGCAUUUCCCAUCUCUCUCCUGCAGAGUGGGUUAGCUUUGUUUGUCUGAGUGUUCAACAGCAAUGGGGGAAAAAGACAUUUUAAGGUAGGACAAAUAUAAUGGAAUUUGCUGCUCACAAAGCCUUUAAGAUCCCACUUAAUACUGCAGAAUAUUUGUGGGGGAUCUGGGAAGGCAGGCAGAUUGAAAAUAAGGUAUUAAGAUUAAAACAAUAAAAACAACAGAUGGGGACUGGGACAUAAGUCAAGCCUCAUGUAGUAAGUAAAAGGCAACUCAAAGCAAAAUACACUCUUGCCACAUGUUAUGAGGUUACAGUCGUUAAGGAAAGCGAUAUGGUGAGGCGUCAAUCCCUUGGUGACAUUAAGAUAGCAUGUUGCACAUAACUCCUGCCUUCCAUCAACAAAGAUUUCCUUCCUUUUAGGUGGUAGUUCUUCAAAAAGUAUGUUCCAAAACGUUAUUUAUACCACAGAGUCACAAAGCUUGUAUUAUAAUACAAAGUGUGCAUUUGCAUAGAGAGGUACUUCUAGUCCAUAGGCAGAAUAACGCAUAUGAACUGUAGAAGAAAACUCUUGGCCUAAGAAUAUCGAACACUGCUCUCAGAAGCCACAGAUACAAUUUCUGUACUGUGAGUAUAAUGGAACCGUGUUACUGUUAGUAAAAUAUUUAUCUCAGCUGUCAAAAUUAUCAGUUAACUAGAUAAAUGGAAACGUUUCAGUAAUGGAUGUUCUGUGACCAUAUUACAGAGUGAUAAACAUCCUGCAUAUGUGAUUAAUGGGCACAGAUCUAUAAAUGCUAUCCACUUAAGAGAACCUAGAAGAAAGAAAGGUUCUUCUCAUUCAUGCCUACAAACUUGUUUUGCUUUAUAACAUUUAUAAAAGCUCAAAAAGUUGUGAAAAGCAUUCUAGCAUGGCUUACUGGCUCACUGAGGAGAGAUGAAAUAAGAUGACUUCUCUUUCCACAUACAUAUAGUAACCUUGCUGUCAAACUAGUUUAAUUUACUUUAGCAGAGUGUAUGAUGGGGUAGGGAGAUGAGACUCUGAAUUAGGAAAAUACCAGAGAGCAAGGAUCAAGUAGUGCUCUGAAGCCUCCUUUCAUCCAGCCCUGAGGAGUAUGGGAGCUUUUAAUUAGCCUGGUCACAUCUAUCAGUUUGUCUCUGUUGUACUAUCCCAUCCUCAUGCAUCACACCUUGCAUUCAGUCUGACUUUGCCUCAAGGACAGCAAGAGAGAAAACGUGGUAUUUCAGAAGAUGAGUAUAAAACAAAGCUAGAUAAAGCUCCAAGACCCAGUGCAGCUAGUAGCCCCUCAUCCAACACGCAGCCAAAUCACACAAGCUCCAUAUAAGGUUUGUGUGCUCAUUCUAAAAAUGUGCUUGGGCUGUGAUGAGCUGCCUUAGGAAGAUGCUAUCCUUCUCGUCAGGAACUGAAAUACAUCUAGAUCUGUUGUUUCCAGACUUUUUCCUUAUUUGCACCCUUGAAUUUUGCCCCAUGCUCCGGGGAUCCCCAUCUAGAAAUGAUGCUUACUCAGAUGCUGCCUAGUAAAUAGAGACAUGCUUUCCAUAGUCAUCUUCCAUGGCCCCCUCCCUACAAACAGGGCUGCCCCAGAGCCUACCAGGUACAUUAACGCAGAGGCAGCCACUUAGGAGCACAUUCGUGCAUCUCUCCCAGACUUUCUCUGUUAUACUGGAAUCUGAAGAGAGGAACAUUCUCUGACACAAAAGUAGAAGGCCUAAGAGUACCAUUUGAAUUCCAGAAAUUAAAACAUUUCAGCUGAUUUAAAGGAGAAUGACAACCUUUUGGACUAACAUGAAAAGGUGAUUUUUAUACACAUACAAAUAUUUCGUUAUGCUGGAGUUUUCCCAUCUGUGUAAAAUUAACCUUCUUAUCCAAUAGAAUGCGCUUUGUAUCAUGCAAGAGAGCAGAUGUCUAUAAUCUCUUACACACAGAGAAUUUACAUAACAUCAGAAUUAGCAAGAAGUAAGUGGGGAGGGGGAACCCGAAUGGAAACAAGUGAAAGACUGAUGUGGCUGUGUUCCACAAAGCAUGUUCAGCAGCUGCAUCGCUGCUCUGGAACAAAGGGGAAUAUAAUUAUUGUUGUUUUACUUUCAUUUCCCAGCAGCAAAGCAAAAGCUGAAUGAAAGUGGUUAUUUUUGCAGGAGAGAGCUGACUCAAGUGUGCACACGAGGUCCCGCAGGGAAAUCUCUGAGGAGACUAUUUCUUAGCACUGAAUAGCUCACACACCCAGUAAAAAAUGUAUCAGUAAAAUUCACCAGCAACACGUUGUUAUUGCAGAGCUGACUCAAGGGUUCUCAGAUGCCCGGAGGGUAAGACUCAGCCACACCUGCUGGGUUAGGGCAGGACUUGGCUGCUCUCGCUGUCUGCAAGGCGUGAUAAUUGCUUAAGGGGGGGGGGGGUACAUCUACUGCUUUUCACACAGCUGCCCCACACUCAGGCUCCCAGCCUUCCUUAGGAGCAACAGCCCAUCCUUCCAGGGCACUAGCAAAGGUAAAACAGGCACAAAGAAUUCCUGUUUUUGCAGAUGAUCAGCAUCCCCCCUGACUUGCUGUAGUGCCGCCACCAGCAUCUCACUUGUGCCAGGAGGAGAGCUGCCACCCAGGGCGAGGCAGCAGGGAAGGGGCUUCCCUGCAGUAGGAAACGAGCUGAGUGUUCUUCCCAGCAUAUGAGAGCUCCAGGUGGCCCCGGCCUACAAUGACUCUUCCUGACUACCGCCUGAUGGGAAAGUGUCAAUUUCUUGGAGCUCAACCUGAGAGGACUUAAGACAGCUCAAGCUCCCAUUGCUGUCACUGAGACAUCUGGAUAAAAAAAGAGCUCUGUGAGCCUGUCCUUAAAGCUUUAAAUGUAGGUAAUAAAAUCUGGUUUGCUAGCCUCUCUUUUCCUGUGAUCUGGGAUUGCUUAGUUACCUUGAGCCAAGAGCAAGCCACUGCAUGCAAGCAGAGUGCUGUCUUUCAAGGAGGGACCUUCUCCUUGUCAAUAACUGUUCUAAUCUCCUAAUCCUUUUGAUGCAGAAACCCCCCAGGGAGCUGCAGAUCCAGCCUGGAACACCGUGGGAGGCUGAGGCUGCUUCCUGCUCCCAGGAGAGGUGAAGCUUGUAAUGGUCCCUCCCUAUAGCCAGGGGUUUCUGAAUUCAUUUGUGAUGCUGUAUUGAUUUGCAGUAUAGGCAGGUGUUCAACCCAUGUGCUACUUGCCUCAGUUCGCUGCUUCAUCCUUAUGAUGGUAAGAAAGCUAUUCAUGCUGCCUCUUUCAUUUGCAUUUUGGAGGUAGUCCUCUGGCCAAAGAAGUGUCAAACUUGCAACACCGUCUCAUUUGCUUGUAAAAAUCAUUAUCGCUGUGGGUACAGAAAAAUAAUUUGACAAGAAUUAAGUCAAGAAAUGUAAACACCAAAGCAACUGAGGUGCAGGAUGGGCCCCACCGACCUGCAUGUAACAUUAAGAGCUAAAGCCAGUGAGGUCUCACCUUAAAGUGACCAAGCACCAAGGCUGUAAGGUGCAAGAUGCCUGUUGAAGCACUCUGAAACGUACACAAAUGCUAUUUAGUUGCCAGUGCAAGCAUCUUAACUGCUGACCAGUGAGAAUAAGUGAAAGAGCAAGCAGAGGCACUGCGUUAGCAUAGCAAAGGCAAGCUUUGAUUAUUUCACAGUUAUCUGAUAACAGUGCAAAGUACCAUCUGUCAUGUGCCCGAGGUAUGUCAAGGUCUUGUUCAGCUCUCAGUAAUGAAGAAGUUCCUUAUCCUUCCACCAACAGAACAGAACUGCAACAGAUCUAUGUUCACUCUUGGAAGUGUGUCUUAUUACCCACAGCCAUGAAAAACCCAUGAAAGACUAUGCUUUUUGUCAUUAAUAUGAUCUUUAAUAAAUGGAAUAAUGCACCAUUUUACAGCAAGCCUUUUCUUUUAGACCUAAAGAAUAGCCUUUUAAAUGUUCUUAUCCAAUGUCUCUGUAUUAAUACAAUCUCUUUAUUUAGGUUUAUAUAUAACAAAGCAAUUCUUACAAGUAUUCAUAGAAAACUCUGUAGUGGCUUUAACAAUGUCAGCUUUCAUAGUGGCAUCCACAGAUGAUUAAAAAACAAAAAUUAGCUUUUAUUUCAUACUCACACUGUUCCAUGAAACACAACUUAUACAGCAUAGCAAGGGUACUGGGCAGCUUAUACAAAAGAAAUAACUGAAAGCAAUUAUUUAUAAAUUCAUACAUGAUAUUUACUCAAUCAUUUGAGAGAAAAAACAAACAAACAAACAAAAAUACCCGUUAACAAAAGGGUUCUGAUGAGACUCCAUAUUCUAGGGUUUCUCCCCCUCUCCCCCAGAAAAGCUCGCUCAGAAAUCAAUGCUCUCCUUACUAUAGUCUGUCAUAAGGAAUGUGUCAGAUUCACAUAUCCUUAUUUCAGCUUCUACAGAAGACCAAACCCUAGAAAUUGGUUUUUGCUGUGUUCAUUUUCCUCUGCAUUUGGGGGAAAAAUAAUCAACAGCGAUUAUAAAGUAUGAUUCCAGCUUAUAUAAAUGUGAAUAGAGCACACUUUCCUCUAGAGACAAAAAGCAGACAAGAAACAUUACAGACAAACCUUUUUAAAUACAUUUCAACACUGUGAAAGAGAGGAGUCACAAAAAUCAAGAAAUUCAAAAGCGACUAAUGAAAGUCAGCAACAAUAUGGACUUGCCUGUUUCUUUGUGUUCCUUCGACCUAAAGAUUACAGAAACAUCUAUUAUUUUCUUUCCAUGUGAAUGAACAAGAUGGAAGUGUGAUACUUCAUGAUACAGUUCUGAAGCACAAAAGAAAAAAAGUGAAUCAAGUGCUCUAGAAAUAUAAACCUCACGCUUUUUUGCUCUUUUAAAAAGUAGUGAAUGAGUUACAAAAAUUAACUUUGGGGAUAUCUACAAACCAGUAAAUUAUAAAGGCAGUUAUUUUUGCUUUAAAAUAGUUACCAGGCAAGAUCUGUGGUCCUGACAGAUGUAAUCUAUCUGCAGAAGCAGAGCUUUGAAGAAAUCCUUCCUUGCUGUGACAGUGGGGGGUGACAUGCGCACUGUAGUUAACCAACCCAAUGAACUGCAACUUCACACAGUUAGUAGGGCUUUUAAAGCAAUCUGACUACUACACUAUAUAUUAGCAUAACUCCAAUGAGCUCUUGAUGUUAUGCACAUAUGUAAUUAAACUACAGUGAAAUAAAUAGAAUUGCUCAUAAAAAGUAAUUCCAUAUUUCCAUACAUGCUGUAAACAGCCACUAAAUCAGACCUGCAUUAAGCCCGGAUGAACAUCAAAGGACUUUGGUGUGAAUGAGGAUUUAUCUGGAAACCUCGCAACGCCCCUCCCUCUGGUAUAGUCCCAUUUCUCAACAAUAACCAAGCUGAGCUGGUACUGACCCAGUGUGGAGGCCUGAACCAAGUCACCAGCUAGCAGCCCUCAGAAUACCAGCGCCAGCUCUUCUUUGCUCCUAACUAAUGGCAGACACCUCUUUGAUUUCAACAGCACCUGGCUCAAGCACCAGCUUGUUUGAGACAUCCAUGUUUGUGAUACGUUGACUUCCCCAGUUAAGUUUGUGCCUAACUGGACUCCCAUUUUGAUUCAGAGCGCCUCAAUCUCUUCUGCAGAUGAGGAAGUUCCAAGACCAGUUUCAGUCAGCACAAAAUAAACCUCAAAAUGAGAAAUCUGAUUUCUUACUAUUUCACAUCUAAACUGAACAUAAUUAGGGGAAAAGAAUAAAUAAGAAAAAUAAAACAGUUGUAUGUCUACAGCUUGAGUUUUUCUAUGACAACCCAGAAGCCUAAAAUGCAAUUGGAUUAAAUGGCUUAAACCUUGCCCCCAUAUUCAAAGGGUUACUACACACUUAACCUCAGCAGCUACUGCAUAAAAAAAGCCUUGUAAAAAUUAUAAUGGAUUAAAAAUGUUGAGGGUUUUCGUAUUGUUUUUGUUUUUUGUUUUCCAACUUGAAAGGAGGAACCUUAAAUCAGUGACAAAGUGACAAGUACGUCAUGGGGGAUCGCACACUUCUGGGUUAUGUCACAGGCUGAGCCCAAUUUUAUUAUAAAGAUGAUUUAAGAAUUGUAUCUAAAAAAGAAUGCUAUACUUGCUACCAGUGCUACCAUCUGAUGCUGUAACUCGCAGAACUUAAUCCUGAAAUUUCUGCAUGACAUACAUAUGCAUCCCAAUACAUACAGAGUUUACAUAAAAAUAUAUAUAUUUGGCUCCACUGCAAUAGAUUUUUCUUUGAAGAAAGGAAUAAAUUUGAACAAAAAUUAAGAGAGUACAUUAAAAAAAACAAAAGUGAGGUUAAAUAUACUGACCUGGCAAAAUGCAUAGUGGGAGACCAGAGAGAAAAGUUCAAAUAAUGCAAUUUAUGCAAAAUACAAAGUCAUCCACUCUAUAACCCAACUUUCAUAGACUAAUCAAACCUACUUCAAUCUUCUUUAGUAAGCUGCUCCAAAUUUCAUAUACAUUAGGUCAUGCACAUACUACCAUACUAGAUAAUUAUUAUUUUUAUGACUUAAGAAAACCCUCAUUUUCAGCAUUGAGAACUUCAUCAUUUUCAUGUAAGUAAAAACUACAGUAUGAUGCAAUUUUCCCCAUAUUAACUGCAAUGUGAAUUUAAAAAAAAAUAUCCUUAAUUAGGCCGUAACUUUCCAUUAUUGUGUUUCAGUGUUAGAAUGGCUAUGAUCUUUUGAAUAUAUUUUUAAUGAAAGAAAAAUAUCACCUGAACAUUGACUCAGUAAUAUUAUAUUAGUGGACUUCUGUUGCUGUUUUAAACACCUACGAAUUCUUCAGGGGUAUCAUAAAAGCAACGUAUAGGGUGAUUGAACACUGAAAUUAUGGCAUAUACUCAUACAUUGUAUACGAUCGUUUUCUACAUAGCAAUUCAUUACUGCUAAAUUUUGCCCAGUAAUCCACUCCAUACAAAUACAGAACAUCCUUAUUUUCAUUUCUGAGGCAAGCAGAAUUAAUGAAUUAUUUUUAAGAAAGUUGACAGAUGGGAAAAUACACACUUUAUAAGCAGAUUUAUAAGGCUUUUUGUUUGCUUUUUCCAGAAACCUGACAGCAUCCAUCUUGCAUUGCCUUUUGUACCCUGUACUGAAAAAAAAUAGUCUAUCUUGACUGCCUAUGGAAAUGAGAUUGUUUUCUAAAUGGAAACAAGACUGGCAUGAAUUGUGGUAAGAAAGCACAAUAUAGAAAAAAUAUUCUUUGUUUCAGAGAACAUUCUAAAGAUGAUGAUAUUAACUGGUCUUCUUUUAAAUUAGGAAUUUCUUUAUCUUUCAGCUGUGUAAGUUAAGUGCAUCUCAGAGUUACAAGAAGGACAUGAUAACUUCAGCACAUGAAACUAUCAAGCUUCAUAAGCAAAGUCAGGGUAAUAUUUCAGAUAACCUUACUUGCAAAUUUCCAAUUUAGUAGAGCCUACAGUUGACAAUACUUGCAUGUCUGUUCAAAUGGUUAGAAUUCACAUUCUAAAAACCAUGUAAUGUUGGUGAGGAAACAUAGGAAACAGAAAGAGACAUUGCGUUAACCUAACUAACUCAUUUAAUUUCUACUAGCAUGUCAUUUUU
This is a non-coding RNA of Coturnix japonica (Japanese quail), 10611 nucleotides long. Lineage: Eukaryota; Metazoa; Chordata; Aves; Galliformes; Phasianidae. The record is from RefSeq and is a predicted model, not a curated record.